RNAcentral lists this ribosomal RNA (468 nucleotides) under uncultured bacterium. Its description in RNAcentral is "partial 16S ribosomal RNA". It matches the Rfam family "Bacterial small subunit ribosomal RNA", at positions 28 to 507 of the family's 1533-position model. The record is from RNAcentral.
GACGAACGCUGGCGGCGUGCUUAACACAUGCAAGUCGAACGGAAAGGCCCUGCUUUUUCGGGUUGUCCGAGUGGGGAAGGGGGGUGAAACACGGGAGUAUCCUCCCCUUGACUUUGGGAUAUCUUCAGGAAAUUGGGGCUAUUACCGGAUAGGAGCUCCUGUUGCUUGGGGGGGGUUGGAAAGUUUCGGCGGUGGGGGAUGGACUCGCGGUUUAUCAGCUUGUGGGUGGGGUAGUGGCUGACCAGGGUUUCGACGGGUAGCCGGCCUGAGAGGGUGACCGGCCACAUUGGGACUGAGGUACGGCCCAGACUCCUACGGGAGGCAGCAGUGGGGAAUAUUGCACAAUGGGCGGGAGCCUGAUGCAGCAACGCCGCGUGCGGAAUGACGGCCUUCGGGUUGUAAACCGCUUUCGCCUGUGACGAAGCGUGAGUGACGGUAAUGGGUAAAGAAGCACCGGCUAACUACGUG